Molecule: non-coding RNA, 286 nt
Organism: Scytonema tolypothrichoides VB-61278
Lineage: Bacteria; Bacillati; Cyanobacteriota; Cyanophyceae; Nostocales; Scytonemataceae
Source: Rfam
GUCAGCACCCCUACCUAAAGGCAAGGGGCUUCUAGCCUCAAACUUUUAGGAUUAGUUGACCAGACUCAGCACCUUUGGGUACUACGUUAACGGCAAGUGUUUAAGCUCCUACCUUGGAAUGCGUAGCCCCUCCGGGGUUCAGCAGUCGCUCAUGGGGGAAACCCCCAAGACCGCGCUGCUUCACCAGUUCCAAGCUCUAGAAACCAGAGAUUAAACAGGUUUAGAGGGCUAAGCCAGUGUCUUUGGUAUAGUUACCGACCGUUAACAUUGUCGAGGCUAACUUUAC